ACCGUGGUAAUUCUAGAGCUAAUACAUGCUAAAAAUCCCGACUCACGAAGGGAUGUAUUUAUUAGAUUAAAAACCAAUGCCCCUCGGGGCUUACUGGUGAUUCAUAAUAACUUCUCGAAUCGCAUGGCCUUGCGCCGGCGAUGGUUCAUUCAAAUUUCUGCCCUAUCAACUUUCGAUGGCAGGGUCUUGGCCUGCCAUGGUUACAACGGGUAACGGAGGGUUAGGGCUCGACCCCGGAGAAGGAGCCUGAGAAACGGCUACUACAUCCAAGGAAGGCAGCAGGCGCGCAAAUUACCCAAUCCCGACACGGGGAGGUAGUGACAAUAAAUACUGAUACAGGGCUCUUUUGGGUCUUGUAAUUGGAAUGAGUACAAUUUAAAUCCCUUAACGAGGAACAAUUGGAGGGCAAGUCUGGUGCCAGCAGCCGCGGUAAUUCCAGCUCCAAUAGCGUAUAUUAAAGUUGUUGCAGUUAAAAAGCUCGUAGUUGAACCUUGGGCCUGGCUGGCCGGUCCGCCUCACCGCGUGCACUGGUUCGGCCGGGCUUUUCCCUCUGGGGAGCCCUAUGCCCUUCACUGGGUGUAGUGGGGAACCAGGACUUUUACUGUGAAAAAAUUAGAGUGUUCAAAGCAGGCCUAUGCUCGAAUACAUCAGCAUGGAAUAAUAGAAUAGGACGUGUGGUUCUAUUUUGUUGGUUUCUAGGACCGCCGUAAUGAUUAAUAGGGACAGUCGGGGGCAUCAGUAUUCAAUUGUCAGAGGUGAAAUUCUUGGAUUUAUUGAAGACUAACUACUGCGAAAGCAUUUGCCAAGGAUGUUUUCAUUAAUCAGGAACGAAAGUUAGGGGAUCGAAGACGAUCAGAUACCGUCGUAGUCUUAACCAUAAACUAUGCCGACUAGGGAUCGGACGAUGUUAUUUUUUGACUCGUUCGGCACCUUACGAGAAAUCAAAGUUUUUGGGUUCUGGGGGGAGUAUGGUCGCAAGGCUGAAACUUAAAGAAAUUGACGGAAGGGCACCACCAGGAGUAAACCGCAGUCGCUCUGCUCCUAAAAGCUAUCCGAGAGGAUUAGGUGGUUGUUCCUACAGCUAGUCAGCGCUCGCUCGCUGGCGACACCCUCAAAUUGCGGGGAACUCCUAAAGCACCAACUACCGCGGCCUCGUCGAAAGACGGAGGUGCAGCACCGGGUUAACGACCUUGGGGAUGGUAAAAACGUUGGUGAUGCUAUAAUGGACAAUCCGCAGCCAAGCUCCUGAGUUCAACGGAGAAGGUUCAGAGACUUAACGGGGGUGGGUAGGUCAUGUUUAUGCAGUCCUGCCUAAGAGAAAGUCCGGGGACUGAAACCGAAAGGUCUGUCCGCGACUCGGCGCUGAAGUAUUCGGCUUUAGCGCUCCAGGUCCCUACAACGGGAGCCUGCGGCUUAAUUUGACUCAACACGGGGAAACUCACCAGGUCCAGACACAAUGAGGAUUGACAGAUUGAGAGCUCUUUCUUGAUUUUGUGGGUGGUGGUGCAUGGCCGUUCUUAGUUGGUGGAGUGAUUUGUCUGCUUAAUUGCGAUAACGAACGAGACAUUUACCUGCUAAAUAGCCCGUAUUGCUUUGGCAGUACGCUGGCUUCUUAGAGGGACUAUCCGCUUAAGCGGGUGGAAGUUGGAUGCAAUAACAGGUUAACCAUGUGUUAUAUAUAUCACAGGCCUGUAAAAGUGGUUUCGACUGCUAGUCUAGCACCUUUGUUCUCUUAGGGGAUGCCCCCAGAUAUCGGGAGAGAAAGCAAGGAAACUUGCGUGGUGCAGGCGACACCAGCUGGUACAGGGAACGCCUAAUGCCUUUUUCACAAGGUAUGGCCGAUCCUGUGGCGAGCCCAGGUUGCUCUGGGCCGUUGCAACGCGCGCAAAGCGGUGGACCUAUAUGGUUUAAGGUACGUGCUAAACACUUGAGUAAUCAAGUCCUUGUAAUUAGACCCGAUAUGUCGAAGUACAAGGAGGUCGUAGCUGCUACGACUGGUAAGAAUAGCGGAGGCGAAGUUCGCCUCCAGCUAUACAAAAUGCUGUGAUGCCCUUAGAUGUUCUGGGCCGCACGCGCGUUACACUGACAGAGACAGCGAGUACUUCCUUAGUAGAGAUACUUGGGUAAUCUUGUUAAACUCUGUCGUGCUGGGGAUAGAGCAUUGCAAUUAUUGCUCUUCAACGAGGAAUUCCUAGUAAGCGUAAGUCAUCAACUUGCGUUGAUUACGUCCCUGCCCUUUGUACACACCGCCCGUCGCUACUACCGAUUGAAUGGCUCAGUGAGGCUUCCGGACUGGCCCAGAGGAGUCGGCAA
This 2313-nucleotide ribosomal RNA is filed under the name fungal sp. RNAcentral's name for it is "partial 18S ribosomal RNA". It matches the Rfam family "Eukaryotic small subunit ribosomal RNA", at positions 146 to 1733 of the family's 1831-position model. The record is from RNAcentral. Lineage: Eukaryota; Fungi.